Molecule: ribosomal RNA, 160 nt
Filed under: Zingiber officinale
Lineage: Eukaryota; Viridiplantae; Streptophyta; Magnoliopsida; Zingiberales; Zingiberaceae
Description: 5.8S ribosomal RNA
Rfam family: 5.8S ribosomal RNA
About the family: 5.8S ribosomal RNA (5.8S rRNA) is a component of the large subunit of the eukaryotic ribosome. It is transcribed by RNA polymerase I as part of the 45S precursor that also contains 18S and 28S rRNA.
Source: RNAcentral
CGACUCUCGGCAACGGAUAUCUCGGCUCUUGCAUCGAUGAAGAACGUAGUGAAAUGCGAUACUUGGUGUGAAUUGCAGAAUCUCGUGAACCAUUGAGUCUUUGAACGCAAGUUGUGCCCGAGGCCUUGUGGCCGAGGGCACCCCUGCUUGGGUGUCAUGG